GACGAACGCUGGCGGCGUGCCUAAUACAUGCAAGUCGAGCGCAGGAAACUGACGGAACUCUUCGGAGGGAAGGCAGUGGAAUGAGCGGCGGACGGGUGAGUAACACGUAAGGAACCUGCCUCAAGGAUUGGGAUAACUCCGAGAAAUCGGAGCUAAUACCGGAUAGUUCAACGGACCGCAUGGUCCGCUGAUGAAAGGCGCUCCGGCGUCACCUUGAGCUGGCCUUGCGGUGCAUUAGCUAGUUGGUGGGGCAACGACCCACCAAGGCGACGAUGCAUAGCCGACCUGAGAGGGUGAUCGGCCACACUGGGACUGAGACACGGCCCAGACUCCUACGGGAGGCAGCAGUAGGGAAUCUUCCACAAUGGACGAAAGUCUGAUGGAGCAACGCCGCGUGAGUGAUGAAGGUUUUCGGAUCGUAAAACUCUGUUGUAAGGGAAGAACACGUACGAGAGGGAAUGCUCGUACCUUGACGGUACCUUACGAGAAAGCCACGGCUAACUACGUGCCAGCCGCCGCCGUAA
RNAcentral lists this ribosomal RNA (524 nucleotides) under uncultured bacterium. RNAcentral's name for it is "partial 16S ribosomal RNA". It matches the Rfam family "Bacterial small subunit ribosomal RNA", at positions 28 to 523 of the family's 1533-position model. The record is from RNAcentral.